UCCCCGUUACCGGGGCAGUCUGGCUAGAAAAAUACAACUAACCACAGGGGUUGCGCUCGUUAAUGGACUUAACCAAACAUCUCACGACACGAGCUGACGACGGCCAUGCAACACCUGUCACUGAGUUCCCCUUACAAUCUACGAUUUUACAGAUAGCCAAAAACUAUCUAAUCAUACAUUCUAAGGGGCACUCACUCCUUUCGGAGUAAUUCUCAGGAUGUCAAGCCUUGGUAAGGUUCUUCGCUUACCAUCGAAUUAAACAACACGCUCCACCGCUUGUGCGGGUCCCCGUCAAUUCCUUUGAGUUUUAGUCUUGCGACCGUACUACUCAGGCGGAAUACUUAACGCGUUAGCUUCGCUACACACCGGGUCGAUACGGCAUACAGCUAGUAUUCAUAGU
This 400-nucleotide unclassified non-coding RNA is filed under the name uncultured bacterium. RNAcentral describes it as "contains 16S-23S intergenic spacer region". The record is from RNAcentral.